GUGGUUGUAGUAUUUCAGCUUUAUCGUCGGUAAAAGACCAACGAGUCAAUUUCUCACGCGAGUCCUUGACUCAUACGUUUGUUUGGUUGUAUUUACCCAGAAUGCCUUACGCUAUUGUCCGCUUCCUACUUUUGGAGCAGUCUUCAAAUUGGCAAUUGUAUAUUCAUUUGAACCAAACCACAAUUCACUUCAACCAAACCGAGAGCUAGGUUUGUAGACGGACCAGAGUUAGCUCUUUUGAUCCACAUCAGAGUUUGAUCAUGCAUUCACACCUCCCCAAAUGAACUGGACUUUCUAAGAAAACAAACUACAGCUGGAUUAAAGUGGACUAAGCAGGUUUGGUAUGAAUGCAUCCAUAAUGACAUGGCACCAAGCUGGUUCUCUGGCACUACAGGACUGGAUCCAGCUUUUGGAGGAAAAGCCUUCCUGGAUGCUCAUGCUUCCAUCUCUCUAAGCUGCUGGGCUUCAAACCGGUCAUUGCUCUGGGAAUGGGAGGGAGCACAUGUUGCUGACACCUGUCUUUCCCAGGACGGGAGGGCCUUUAUGACGUAGAACCAGCAGGAGACAGAUCUGACAGGGUUGCUGACAAGGACUGGGCUGCACGCUGGGAGCAACACCACGGGCCAACACAAACAAGACUUUCUCUCCUCUCUGGGCGUGCAGCGAUGGCUACAGCUGGCAGCUGAGAAGUCUCAAGCUGUUAAUUAAGUCUGCCUCGCUCAGCACGCUUCCAUUUUCUGAGACCCGGUCCAAAGCAGACGCCUCCUAAUUGUUAUCGAGUCGGCAUGGAGAAAGUCUGAGCAGCAACAAGCUCAAAGAAUAAAGCUUCCUCUGAGGCGAUGGGAAUUGGGCGAGGAGCAGCAGAACCAGAAGAGUUGCAGAGGGGGUAAAGUCAGCGUGCUACAAAGAACAUUUGAAAUGGCCCAUUUAACAGCACUGUACUGCGCUCCCAGCCCAGGGUGCCAUUUGCAUACCUCCGAUCGGAUGAAGAUGGAUGGAGAAAAUCAGUGUCAGUGAGAUGAGCAUUUUAUCAAGGUUACGCUAUCCUCCAAACUCUUAAAACCUCUUUAUCUCAUCUCUGUUGUCAGAAUAUUAACUUAUCAACACCAGCCUUUUGUUGAAGUGAAAGAACGGAGCGACGGGGUUUAUCUGCUGGAGGACAGGCAACACGCCGGCCAGCCGGCUUCCAGAGGAGCAACGACAUUUAUUUCAAGAUGAUUUCAUCAUGAAAUGUAAGACAAGGGCUAAUGGUGUCCAUCAGAAUUUCCUCAAACUGAUGUUCAUUUUUCAUUGUUUUAUCUUAUAGUAAGUGUG
Long non-coding RNA from Xiphophorus hellerii (green swordtail), 1314 nucleotides. RefSeq lists it as uncharacterized. Lineage: Eukaryota; Metazoa; Chordata; Actinopteri; Cyprinodontiformes; Poeciliidae. The record is from RefSeq and is a predicted model, not a curated record. The transcript has 3 exons.